UGGGGUCUCCCCGCAGCCCAGAGUCGGAGAUUGUUGAAAACUUUAAAUUUGAUUCCUGAAAGGACUCAAUGGCUUACAGAAGGGAUGAAAUGUGGUCUGAAGGACGAUACGACUAUGAAAGACUUCCAAGAGAACGAGUACCUCCUCAAAAUCACCCCAGUGAUGGCUACCAUAGAGUAGUUAAUAUUGUGCCAAAGAAACCAUCACUGCUAGACAGACCUGGUGAAGGAAGCUACAAUAGAUAUUACAGUCAUGUUGAUUACCAAGAAUAUGACAAGGGCCACAGUUUUUCUCAUGAUCGAAGAAGUGGUCCACCUCACAGAGGAGAUGAAUCUGGCUAUAGGUGGACAAGAGAUGAUCAUUCUGCAAGUCGACAGCCUGAGUACAGGGACAUGAGAGAUGGCUUUAGAAGAAAAAGUUUCUAUUCUUCCCAUUACAUGAGAAACCGGUCUCCUCAUAAAAGAGAUACUCCUUUUUUUCAGAUAAUUACCUGUAGGUCGAAUGGAUUCUCCACACAGCAGGUCUGGCUCGUGUCAGUAGCAAAAGCUACUCUCCAGAAAGAAGCAAAAUGUACUCUUUCCAUCAAGCUCAACAUAGAAAGUCCGUCUGUGCUGGUGCCUCCUACAAACGGCAGAAUGAAGGAAAUCCAGAAAGAGGUAAAGAGAGACCUGUUCAGUCUUUGAAAACAUCAAGAGACACCUCACCCUCAUGUUCUUCAGCAGUUCCUCCAUCAAAGAUGUUAGACAAACCCAGUAGGCUAACUAAAAAGGAACGCUGAGUUUGCAAGCAAGUGCGCUGCUGAAAAGCUAGAGAAGGCAGAUGAGUGUAACUUACCUGAAAUUGAGUAUGAGACAGGAUCCACAGCACCAUUGUUUAUUGAGCAGGGAGAGGAACCUGAGUCAAAUGCAACAGAUGGCAUAGAAUUAUUUGAAGACAGUCAACUAAGCAGUCUCUCUAAAGCAGUAGCAUCAAAACCGAAAGAGAUUGGACAGGUUUACCGACAAGACUGUGAAACUUUUGGGAUGGUUGUGAAAAUGCUGAUUGAAAAAGAUCCUUCAUUAGAAAAGUCUAUACAGUUUGCAUUGAGAAAGAAUUUACAUGAAAUAGGUGAGAGGUGUGUUGAAGAACUCAAGCAUUUCAUUGCAGAGUAUGACACCUCUAGUCAAGAUUUUGGAGAGCCUUUUUAG
RNA transcript from Mirounga angustirostris (Northern elephant seal), 1187 nucleotides. It is a transcript of the gene named periphilin-1-like, with no coding region annotated. Lineage: Eukaryota; Metazoa; Chordata; Mammalia; Carnivora; Phocidae. The transcript has a single exon. The record is from RefSeq and is a predicted model, not a curated record.